Molecule: ribosomal RNA, 492 nt
Filed under: uncultured bacterium
Lineage: Bacteria
Description: partial 16S ribosomal RNA
Rfam family: Bacterial small subunit ribosomal RNA
Source: RNAcentral
AGUGAACGCUGGCGGUAGGCCUAACACAUGCAAGUCGAACGGCAGCACAGUAAGAGCCUGCUCUUACGGGUGGCGAGUGGCGGACGGGUGAGGAAUACAUCGGAAUCUACUUUUUCGUGGGGGAUAACGUAGGGAAACUUACGCUAAUACCGCAUACGACCUACGGGUGAAAGCAGGGGAUCUUCGGACCUUGCGCGAUUGAAUGAGCCGAUGUCGGAUUAGCUAGUUGGCGGGGUAAAGGCCCACCAAGGCGACGAUCCGUAGCUGGUCUGAGAGGAUGAUCUGCCACACUGGAACUGAGACACGGUCCAGACUCCUACGGGAGGCAGCAGUGGGGAAUAUUGGACAAAGGGCGCAAGCCUGAUCCAGCCAUACCGCGUGGGUGAAGAAGGCCUUCGGGUUGUAAAGCCCUUUUGUUGGGAAAGAAAAGCAGCAGGUUAAUACCCCGCUGUUCUGACGGUACCCAAAGAAUAAGCACCGGCUAACUUCGUG